RNA transcript from Cryptomeria japonica (Japanese cedar), 3126 nucleotides. It is a transcript of the gene named outer envelope protein 64, chloroplastic, with no coding region annotated. The record is from RefSeq and is a predicted model, not a curated record. NCBI's taxonomy places the organism in Eukaryota, Viridiplantae, Streptophyta, Pinopsida, Cupressales, Cupressaceae. The transcript has 14 exons.
GAGUGUUAGAAAAGUGAUCGACGGUCACGAGAAUCAUAACGCAGGGUUUAGCAAACAAAGAAAUACCCAGGCGGUUUGUCGUUCUCAUUCUGUGUACGCUGCAUUUUAUGGGCAUUUGAGGUUGCGAGUUCGAGUCUCGCCCAAGCUUCCACACGCUGGAGAAGUUAAAGAUGUCGUCGAUGGCCAAGGUCUGCGUGCUGGUGGGCCUUGGCAUAGCGGGGCUUAUCAUUGUUAGCAGGCAAUGGGAGAAGAAGAAGAGACAGAAGAAGAGGAAAGAAGACUUUGGCGCCUUCAUCGAACGCCUUGAACUCCUUCCGCCUCCUCAGCCGGCUCCCCCUGUUGCCCGUCACAUUCUUACUGACCUCACCUUUGCACUCCAAGACAUCUUUGAUGUGGAGGGAUAUGUCACUGGUUUUGGCAACCCUGAUUGGCUCAGAACGCAUGACCCUGCAGCUAAAACAGCUGGUUCCGUCUCACUUGUUGUGGCUCAUGGUGCCACAUGUGUUGGCAAAACUGUCAUGGAUGAGCUUGCAUACAGCAUAACAGGGGAAAACAGACAUUAUGGAACUCCAACAAACCCAGCUAUAGCUUCACGAAUCCCUGGGGGAUCUGCAAGUGGUUCUGCUGUAGCUGUUGCAGCUAAGCUUGUGGACUUCGCUCUUGGUAUUGAUACAGAUGGAAGUGUAAGAAUUCCAGCUGCAUUCUGUGGCAUUUUGGGAUUCCGUCCUUCACAUGGUUCUGUUUCUACUUUUGGUGUUGUGCCAAUGGCGCAGAGUUUUGACACUGUAGGGUGGUUUGCAAGGGAUGCAAAUGUUCUUCGUCGUGUUGGUCAUGUCCUACUACAGUUACCAAUGGUUGACUUAAGACGACCAAGGCGUAUAUUAAUUGCCGAUGACUGUUUUGAGCUUUCAAGUACCCCAAAAGAGAAGAUUGUUGAUGUUGUUGUUAGAUCUAUUCAAGAUCUUCCUGGGCGCCAAGUUGUGAAUCAUGUGAACCUGGGGCAAUAUAUCACAUCCAAAGUUCCGAGUCUCAAGAUUUUUAGAAAUGAAGAAAGCAGGAAUGGAGAAGGGAAAUCAGCCUUGAAGGAUCUAAGCAAUGCAUUUGAGUUACUUCAAAGAUAUGAAUUCAAAAUGAAUCAUGAAGAGUGGGUUAGUACAGUCAAACCUCAUUUGGGAUAUGAAAUAUCGGUACGGGUGCGUGCAGCUCUAGAGAGUACUGAAGAAAAAAUUCAGUCUUGCCUUAAAGCCAGGAAUGAAAUGCGAGAAGCUCUCUGCAAUCUUUUGAAGGAUGAUGGAAUAUUGGUAAUUCCCACAGUCCCAAUCUUACCUCCCAACCUCAGGUCAAAGAAAAGACAAUUGGAGGAGUUUUAUUCAAGGGCGUUCUCAGUUUUGAGCAUUUCUGGCAUGUCUGGGUGCUGUCAGGUCAGCAUACCUUUGGGGAUGCAUGAAGGGUGUCCUUUGGCAGUGUCAUUGAUGGCUAGGCAUGGAGCAGAUAGGUUUUUACUAGAUACCAUUCUGGACCUGCAUCCUUCUCUUCAGAAACAAGCUGAGAUUGCAUCAAAUACACAGCCCUCAAUUUCUGAUGAUUGUCAAAUAGAUGCUGCAGAGAAUUAUAAAGAAAAGGGAAAUGCUGCUUAUAAGGGAAAACAAUUCCAUAAAGCUGUUAAUUUCUAUUCUGAGGCAAUCAAAUUAAAUGAUACAAAUGCUACUUACUAUAGCAAUCGAGCAGCAGCAUGUUUAGAAUUGGGAAGGUUUCAGCAAGCUGAAGAAGACUGUAGUAAAGCUAUUGAGAUUGACAGAAAGGCAAAACCAUAUAAAACUCAACAGAGGUGGUGGUGUGGCAAAGGGACAUUUCCCCCAAGUCCCUGCAUCUCAGAAAUGUUCCCAUCUCAGAAAUUCAGGGAUUUUUUUGGAAGCGGGGGUCCCACAUUGUCUUUUAGUGAGUUUGGUCUUCACAUGAGAAUGUUAAAGCGUAUUUAAGAAGAGGCACGGCAAGGGAGAUGCUUUCUUACAUUAAGGAUGCGAUUGAAGAUUUCAAGUUUGCUCUUGUGCUUGAGCCAACCAACAAAACAGCAAGCACCGCGUUAGAGAGAUUAAAGAAGUUUGUUUUAUAGACUUUGAAUUUUUUGCUCUCAUGAAAGUAACUUCAAGUCAGGGAUGAUUGAGGGUUGCUAAGGCAGAAUGUUAGAUUCUUUCAGGUUUAUUAAAUUUCAGUUCUAGUGAUUAAGGUGAUGAAGCCCGGCGGCCAGACAAUUAUAAUUUCACUUCUUGUACCUUGUAGAUGUCUCUAUUUUUGAUUUAUUGGUGCACACUAUAGAGGGAAUGCAGUUGUUUAACUGGUACAAUAGAACAAUUGGCUCAGGAUACAGUUUAAAUAAGCUACUUGACACAUACUACAAGGAUUUCAUUGUAGUUUUGGUCACAUCAUUCCUAGUGAACUUAAGCUGUGUUAAAGGGAAUGGUAGAUUGACAUAGGUGAUUUAUUCAACCUACCUCACAAGGAUCUAGUUUUUCUGAUAAAACUGAACAUCAGGGUGAUAUGAGGGCUGCCAGGAAGAUUCAGUGUGUACAUCAGAGAAGCAGUUUUGUUUAUGGUAAAUCUUUUCGACUUGCCAUGAGUGAAGGUUCAAAUUCACAAAUGGCAUUCAGUGGUUAUAGAAUUGUUGCUAUCAUCAUUUUUUGUAUUGGGAAUAUUUGCAUUGAAGAAUGGGAAAUUCAUUCACUGUAAUGUAAUGCCAUAGUAUAUGGUCAUCGCAACAUCCAUGUGGAAUUUGAAGGUUCAGCCUGAUACGCUUAUUUUUCCUUUCACCAUGGUAUUCAAUUGGAGCCUUGUGAAUAAUUUAAUGGUUAUUACAAAGGAAAAAACCAUUUUUGAGUAGAGAAGUUUCCUUAAUUCCAGAUGUAUUGUCCACUUUAACAAGGAUAUAAUUAUAUUUCACUUAACAGAUAUUUUUUAAAGCAGGCAUUUUGUUUUUACUGGACACGAUUUUAAGUACUUUAUAUGAAAGGCAUAUAUCUCGAACUAAAGCUGUUGCUUUUGGACAAAUUCGUUUUCCCCCUUUACAAUGUAUAUUAUGUAAUGACCCAUAUGAAUAACUAACAUUAAUGUUUGCCAUAAGGCCUUAAA